GACGAACGCUGGCGGCGUGCCUAAUACAUGCAAGUAGAACGCAGUUGCGAACGGGUGAGUAACGCGUAGGUAACUGCCUCAUAGCGGGGGAUAACUAUUGGAAACGAUAGCUAAUACCGCAUAAUGUGAGAUGGACGGGGGGUUUAUUAGCUAGUUGGUGAGGUAAAGGCUCACCAAGGCGACGAUACAUAGCCGACCUGAGAGGGUGAUCGGCCACCCUGGGACUGGGGCACGGCCCAGAAUCCUACGGGAGGCAGCAGUAGGGAAUCUUCGGCAAUGGACGGAAGUCUGACCGAGCAAAGGCGCGUGAGUGAAGAAGGUUUUCGGAUCGUAAAGCUCUGUUGUUAGAGAAGCCUUCCCUCCCCCCAAAGGGACGGCUAACUACGUGCCAGCAGCCGCGGUACUUC
RNAcentral lists this ribosomal RNA (407 nucleotides) under uncultured bacterium. RNAcentral describes it as "partial 16S ribosomal RNA". It matches the Rfam family "Bacterial small subunit ribosomal RNA", at positions 28 to 526 of the family's 1533-position model. The record is from RNAcentral.